GGAUAACUCCGGGAAACCGGGGCUAAUACCGGAUGCUUGUUUGAACCGCAUGGUUCAAACAUAAAAGGUGGCUUCGGCUACCACUUACAGAUGGACCCGCGGCGCAUUAGCUAGUUGGUGAGGUAACGGCUCACCAAGGCAACGAUGCGUAGCCGACCUGAGAGGGUGAUCGGCCACACUGGGACUGAGACACGGCCCAGACUCCUACGGGAGGCAGCAGUAGGGAAUCUUCCGCAAUGGACGAAAGUCUGACGGAGCAACGCCGCGUGAGUGAUGAAGGUUUUCGGAUCGUAAAGCUCUGUUGUUAGGGAAGAACAAGUACCGUUCGAAUAGGGCGGUACCUUGACGGUACCUAACCAGAAAGCCACGGCUAACUACGUGCCAGCAGCCGCGGUAAUACGUAGGUGGCAAGCGUUGUCCGGAAUUAUUGGGCGUAAAGGGCUCGCAGGCGGUUUCUUAAGUCUGAUGUGAAAGCCCCCGGCUCAACCGGGGAGGGUCAUUGGAAACUGGGGAACUUGAGUGCAGAAGAGGAGAGUGGAAUUCCACGUGUAGCGGUGAAAUGCGUAGAGAUGUGGAGGAACACCAGUGGCGAAGGCGACUCUCUGGUCUGUAACUGACGCUGAGGAGCGAAAGCGUGGGGAGCGAACAGGAUUAGAUACCCUGGUAGUCCACGCCGUAAACGAUGAGUGCUAAGUGUUAGGGGGUUUCCGCCCCUUAGUGCUGCAGCUAACGCAUUAAGCACUCCGCCUGGGGAGUACGGUCGCAAGACUGAAACUCAAAGGAAUUGACGGGGGCCCGCACAAGCGGUGGAGCAUGUGGUUUAAUUCGAAGCAACGCGAAGAACCUUACCAGGUCUUGACAUCCUCUGACAAUCCUAGAGAUAGGACGUCCCCUUCGGGGGCAGAGUGACAGGUGGUGCAUGGUUGUCGUCAGCUCGUGUCGUGAGAUGUUGGGUUAAGUCCCGCAACGAGCGCAACCCUUGAUCUUAGUUGCCAGCAUUCAGUUGGGCACUCUAAGGUGACUGCCGGUGACAAACCGGAGGAAGGUGGGGAUGACGUCAAAUCAUCAUGCCCCUUAUGACCUGGGCUACACACGUGCUACAAUGGACAGAACAAAGGGCAGCGAAACCGCGAGGUUAAGCCAAUCCCACAAAUCUGUUCUCAGUUCG
This 1168-nucleotide ribosomal RNA is filed under the name Bacillus subtilis. RNAcentral's name for it is "bacterial SSU rRNA". It matches the Rfam family "Bacterial small subunit ribosomal RNA", at positions 141 to 1295 of the family's 1533-position model. RNAcentral also lists the same sequence under 1 other name. The record is from RNAcentral. Lineage: Bacteria; Bacillati; Bacillota; Bacilli; Caryophanales; Bacillaceae.